Molecule: transfer RNA, 67 nt
Filed under: Illinigina sp. EMHAU-15062817
Lineage: Eukaryota; Metazoa; Arthropoda; Insecta; Hemiptera; Cicadellidae
Description: tRNA-Trp
Source: RNAcentral
AAGAUUUUAAGUUAACUUUAAACUAUUAGCCUUCAAAGUUAAAAAUACUAUAAUUUGGAAAAUCUUA